GUGAGGAAUUUUCCGCAAUGGGCGAAAGCCUGACGGAGCAAUGCCGCGUGAAGGAUGAAGGCCUAUGGGUUGUAAACUUCUUUUCUCAGAAAAGAAUUAUGACGGCAUCUGAGGAAUAAGCAUCGGCUAACUCUGUGCCAGCAGCCGCGGUAAGACAGAGGAUGCAAGCGUUAUCCGGAAUGAUUGGGCGUAAAGCGUCUGUAGGUUGUUUAAAAAGUAUUCUGUCAAAGAUUAGGGCUUAACCCUAGAUAGGCAGAAUAAACUUUUAAGCUAGAGUUUGGUAGAGGCAGAGGGAAUUCCCGGUGGAGCGGUGAAAUGCGUAGAUAUCGGGAGGAACACCAAAGGCGAAGGCACUCUGCUGGGCCAAUACUAACACUGAGAGACGAAAGCGAGGGGAGCAAAUGGGAUUAGAAACCCUAGUAGUCC
This 426-nucleotide ribosomal RNA is filed under the name uncultured bacterium. RNAcentral describes it as "partial 16S ribosomal RNA". It matches the Rfam family "Bacterial small subunit ribosomal RNA", at positions 354 to 796 of the family's 1533-position model. The record is from RNAcentral.